RNAcentral lists this ribosomal RNA (520 nucleotides) under uncultured Glomus. RNAcentral's name for it is "SSU rRNA". It matches the Rfam family "Eukaryotic small subunit ribosomal RNA", at positions 569 to 1090 of the family's 1831-position model. Lineage: Eukaryota; Fungi; Glomeromycota; Glomeromycetes; Glomerales; Glomeraceae. The record is from RNAcentral.
AGCAGCCGCGGUAAUUCCAGCUCCAAUAGCGUAUAUUAAAGUUGUUGCAGUUAAAAAGCUCGUAGUUGAAUUUCGGGAUCAGUUUGUUGGUCGUGCUUCGGUACGUACUGUCAUUACUGGUUUCUACCUUCUGAAGAACCUUGAUGUCAUUAAUUUGGUGUCUUGGGGAAUCAGGACUGUUACUUUGAAAAAAUUAGAGUGUUUAAAGCAAGCUCGCGCUUGAAUACAUUAGCAUGGAAUAAUGAAAUAGGACGUUUGAUUCUAUUUCGUUGGUUUCUAGGAUCGACGUAAUGAUUAAUAGGGAUAGUUGGGGGCAUUAGUAUUCAAUUGUCAGAGGUGAAAUUCUUGGAUUUAUUGAAGACUAACUACUGCGAAAGCAUUUGCCAAGGAUGUUUUCAUUAAUCAAGAACGAAAGUUAGGGGAUCGAAGACGAUCAGAUACCGUCGUAGUCUUAACCAUAAACUAUGCCGACUAGGGAUCGGGAUGAUGUUAAUUUUUUAAUGACUCAUUCGGCGCCUUA